UACGGAGGGUGCAAGCGUUAUCCGGAUUCACUGGGUUUAAAGGGUGCGUAGGAGGGCAGGUAAGUCAGUGGUGAAAUCUUCGAGCUUAACUCGGAAACUGCCGUUGAUACUAUCUGUCUUGAAUCCCGUGGAGAUGAGCGGAAUAUGUCAUGUAGCGGUGAAAUGCUUAGAUAUGACAUAGAACACCAAUUGCGAAGGCAGCUUACUACGGGAAUAUUGACACUGAGGCACGAAAGCGUGGGGAUCAAACAGG
Molecule: ribosomal RNA, 253 nt
Filed under: uncultured bacterium
Lineage: Bacteria
Description: partial 16S ribosomal RNA
Rfam family: Bacterial small subunit ribosomal RNA
Source: RNAcentral